CAUCGCCGCGGUAAUACGUAGGUGGCAAGCGUUGUCCAGAAUUAUUGGGCGUAAAGGGCUCGCAGACGGUUUCUUAAGUCUGAUGUGAAAGCCCCCGGCUCAACCGGGGAGGGGCAUUGGAAACUGGGAAACUUGAGUGCAGAAGAGGAGAGUGGAAUUCCACGUGUAGCGGUGAAAUGCGUAGAGAUGUGGAGGAACACCAGUGGCGAAGGCGACUCUCUGGUCUGUAACUGACGCUGAGGAGCGAAAGCGUGGGGAGCGAACAGGAUUAGAUACCCCCGUAGUCCCUGUCUCUUAUACA
Molecule: ribosomal RNA, 301 nt
Filed under: uncultured bacterium
Lineage: Bacteria
Description: partial 16S ribosomal RNA
Rfam family: Bacterial small subunit ribosomal RNA
Source: RNAcentral